AAGUCGUAACAAGGUAACCGUAGGUGAACCUGCGGUUGGAUCAUUAACAAAAUCCAAACAAAAAAGAGGACUUAGGAUGCGGACUUUUGAUAUUUUUAAUUGGACUUUAUAACCUAUGAAAGCUUGUCUUUUUGUAUUUUAAAAUAAAAAACAACUUUUGGCAACGGAUCUCUAGGCUCUU
RNAcentral lists this unclassified non-coding RNA (181 nucleotides) under fungal sp. RNAcentral's name for it is "partial internal transcribed spacer region". The stretch from base 1 to 46 matches the Rfam family "Eukaryotic small subunit ribosomal RNA", at positions 1786 to 1831 of the family's 1831-position model. Lineage: Eukaryota; Fungi. The record is from RNAcentral.